Non-coding RNA from Corylus avellana, 1164 nucleotides. The record is from RefSeq and is a predicted model, not a curated record. Lineage: Eukaryota; Viridiplantae; Streptophyta; Magnoliopsida; Fagales; Betulaceae.
AACUAUGAGGUACAAGAUAAUUAAAGGUAAAUUAAUAGUCUAAAAGUAGUUUAGAGAAGUCCAUGAAGGAAUUCCUACUAUCUAUUACCAUAACUGAUAUUCCUUCUGUUCUAUUUUACCUGCAUGCUCCUAACAGCAUUUGGAUAUAAUGACAGAUUAAACGUGGAAAGAGGCUGCCUUAACAGUUCUUGAGAAAGAUAAUUAUCUGGAUUAAAGUGAUCGGGUAAUAUCCUAUUCGAUGGCUCAAGAUCUUUGGAACAAUGUUGAAUUCACCACUGAACCUCAUAAGCAAAAAGAUGAUGAAGCUGUUUAAAAGGAUUAGAGCAACAAGAAUUUUAUGGCUUCACAGGUUAUUCAAAAUUCGUCCGGGCUGGACACAGUUAUUGAGAUUGAGGAGAUUAAUUCUACAAAUAUUGCUCGGAAUACUUUGGUAGAAGAGCGUAAGAUGCCCAACAAUAUUAACACAGAAAGAUCAUCCUUUCCUUUCAUUUCGUUCAAUGACAACAAAGAGAAACUUGGCAGGGAGGGACAACAAUGGACAUUUUGAUCAAUAUAAAGAAUUUGUUAAGGAUGUGCAACGUGGAGAUUGGUACGAUAUAAGGAAGUUCCUUGAGCAGCAUCCCAACGCAUUGAAUGAGAAGAUCACAGCUCAGGGCAAGACAGCUCUUCACAUUGCUGUUGCUUCGGGACAUGAUGAUAUAGUGGAGAAGCUGGUAUAUAAAAUGUCGGAAGAAAGCUUGGAAAUACAAGAUAAUGAUGGUUGGACAGCUCUAGCUGAGACAGCUUUUGCUGGUAACUACCGGAUGGCAAAGUGCAUGCUUACAAAGAAACAAGCACUUGGCCAGCAUUGGAGACGUGGAUGGACGUCUUCCGGUUGUUCUGCUAUUGAAGGUGGUUAUAAAGAAUUGGCUUGCUAUCUCUAUUCUCUCACUCCGCGGAAGAUCUAAAAGGCAUCAAGGUGCUACACUUUGUACGAAGGCUAUAUAUACCCGGACGUUAGACAAAGAGAAGGUCUCCCCUUUGUAUGCCUUGGCUUCUACACCUAACGCAUUCCCAAGUGAAAAUCAGCUUGUGUUUUGGAAACGAUGGAUCUACUCUCGUUAGUAUCGCUCGCUUGUUUCUUUUCAUUAAAUUGCUCUGGUAUUAUGCAUGCACACAUAGCAU